Long non-coding RNA from Dermochelys coriacea (leatherback sea turtle), 312 nucleotides. RefSeq lists it as uncharacterized. The transcript is spliced from 3 exons. NCBI's taxonomy places the organism in Eukaryota, Metazoa, Chordata, Testudines, Dermochelyidae. The record is from RefSeq and is a predicted model, not a curated record.
UCGGAGUUUCAACGAGGGCAGGGUGGUACAGCUCUGGGGUCUUACGCUGGGAAGCUGGGGGUUAUUUUGGCUACAGCCUCUCUAUUGUUGGUUCAUACAGUGGUUGGUCAAAGCCUGCAUGCAACUCCCGCUGGGUGUGUCCCUGCCGAUGUGGAUGCUGGUGGGAGUGGAGGACUGGGAGCGGUCUACAGCUUGUCACAACAGCACAGUGUGAGAGGGAGUCCAGGCUGGUGAGUGAGAGGGCUCAGUGGUACCCCAGUUCCAGGUGGCACCCCGGGGGGAACCCGUCACAGCCACAACCCCAUGCUCCAG